Molecule: non-coding RNA, 170 nt
Organism: Deltaproteobacteria bacterium RBG_13_58_19
Lineage: Bacteria; Deltaproteobacteria
Source: Rfam
GUCGUCGGGAGGCGGGGUCUGAAGGAAGCGUGGAUCAAAGCCGUGGCCGGACGGACAGGAACCGGAUACGAGGCAGUUUUGGCCGGACGAGGGGGCAAAUAACUCCGAAGUCCAUAUCCAUCACGGGCCAGGGCUGUAAAUCCGGCAGGUGGGUGGCGAAGGCGGUNNNN